CCAAGAACGGCGCCGCCACUCCCGUGCCUCUUCGCUUCCAACGUCGCGGCCGGCCUUUAAUGGAAAGCUACGGCGUGAACUCAUUCCCCAACCAGCACUCCUUCCUCUCUCAACGCUUGGCUUGCUCCCCAACUGGACUUUGGAGAGACCUAGAUGAUCGUACAUCCAUUAAAUCUGCAUGUGUCUUGUUCUGCUUUUCAUUGGAUCCAAAUGUGAGAGAGUCUUCAGGAAGGAGAUUAGGAGAAGGGAGAAAAUUUAGGCAAUUCAGGCGUGUCUUUUUGUUCGUGUUGACUGCUAUGGUGUACGGAUAAGCCACCUACAACAUCCACAUGAAUCGGUUUCCAGGAUAGUUAUUCUUUGAGUAAACAAUUUUGGAGUGAAGAGCAUGGUAGAUCGGGGAUGAUCCAGAAACAAAUGAUGACAUUUUUCUACAGCAGGUACCAUAAAGUUCUGGUAGUUAAAGGCUCUCUGUUAUCGUGUUAAUUUCCUCACAGCAAAAUUACUGAAAUAAACAUAAAACGGAGAAACAGAACCUUGAGCUGGACAGGGUGGAGUUUGUCAGCACAGCGAGAGUACGAAGAUCCAGACAGCUUAUCGAAGAGUAGACAUCUACAGUUUUAACCUCAUGGGACAGAUCCUGCGGGCAAAAUAAAAUAUAGAGCUUAUUUUGGUAAUUCGGAAUAACUUGUAAUCGAAACCGUUGUCAGUGCAAAUCAAUCCCAACUCUGAGGAGACACUCUAUAAAGUACAGUAAACCACCAGGCAGGAAUUCCAAUUUAACCCUGCACUACUACUACUAGUAUCAAGUUUAGUUUUGAUCCUACAUUUGGACUUCCUAUACUGUAAAUUUCAAGCACCCACGAGAUGGAGGCCAAAUCGCAUCCACCCAAUUUCCCCAUCCGUGAAAGAAGUGCAUUUAUCAUGAGUAAAACAGUUAGAAAAAUCAUGAAAAUGGGAAUCCCAAUUAUACGAAUUGCAUGCUAGUGAUGCCCUAGUGAAUCGGGGUGAAAUAUGGAGAAAUCAAUAGGCAGGCAGGGAAUAUCGCUCCGCCCACUCAAGUCCAAGAGCGCAAAUCGUAGGCAGCGGGGGAGCCGGGAGCGAGACGGGCGGGCCCGGCGAAACGCGGCGGCGGC
This is a long non-coding RNA of Triticum aestivum (bread wheat), 1133 nucleotides long. RefSeq lists it as uncharacterized. The record is from RefSeq and is a predicted model, not a curated record. The transcript has 4 exons. NCBI's taxonomy places the organism in Eukaryota, Viridiplantae, Streptophyta, Magnoliopsida, Poales, Poaceae.